Long non-coding RNA from Phyllostomus discolor (pale spear-nosed bat), 628 nucleotides. RefSeq lists it as uncharacterized. The transcript has 3 exons. The record is from RefSeq and is a predicted model, not a curated record. Lineage: Eukaryota; Metazoa; Chordata; Mammalia; Chiroptera; Phyllostomidae.
CCUCACAGGAGAGCUGGAAACAUGGAGUAUCUGCCUCUGGAGCCACUUGGAAGAGUUUAUACAAGAUGAUUAACCUUUUUGAGUGUUUCCUGUUUCUUGCUUCUCGCUAAUCAUACCCAUGACUCACACUUCGAAAGUCAAAAAGGGCAUCCAUAGUACAGUAUACAGUGCUGCCCAGCUGCACCAGUAACCAACCUUUCCCAGAGUGGACCUCUAAUUUUCCUCACUAAUAUUUUGAUAAAUCAAUGGAUUGUUCUCAUUUACUCACUCAACAUGUAUUCACUGAGUGCCUGUUGUUCUAGGUGCUUGCUAUACUAGAGCUAACAAACAAACUCCAUGCUCUGAAAGAACUUAUAUCCUUCUUGUAGACACUCAAAAGGGCUUUUUUUCAGUCGCUCACUGAUCCAGUGAGUAUUUGCAUAAAUGUCAAGUAUUGUGUUUGCUUUAGCUUUACAGUAAAAUCUAAAUAUAAUCUCAUUCUCUUUACAGGUCUGACCAAAGACCAAUUCCGCCUCUUCCUUAGCUCAGAAUAAUCAUGUUAACAGAAAUGUACUUGCUUAGAAUAUCCUCUGAAGAGAACAAUCUCCUAACCAAGUAUAACACACUGUAAGAUCUUCCCAAAAACCUG